This 1063-nucleotide ribosomal RNA is filed under the name Centrolene charapita. Its description in RNAcentral is "partial 16S ribosomal RNA". It matches the Rfam family "Bacterial large subunit ribosomal RNA", at positions 853 to 2597 of the family's 2925-position model. Lineage: Eukaryota; Metazoa; Chordata; Amphibia; Anura; Centrolenidae. The record is from RNAcentral.
UACUCAAGAAAAGAAUUUAAGUUCAACCUAAGGUUAACUUAAUAAAACAAAAUAACAGCUAUAACUUUAGAGUAAUUCAAAUAAGGUACAGCCUAUUUGAAAAAGGACACAACCUUAACCACCGGGUAAUUGUUAACCACACCUAAUAAAGUAGGCCUAAAAGCAGCCAUCUUCUAAAAAGCGUCAAAGCUUAAUUAGGUUACUAAUUAAUCCCAACACCACCCAAGAACCCUUAUACAAUAUUGAGUAAUUCUAUACCACUAUAGAAGAUUUUAUGUUAAAACUAGUAACAAGAAGAAGAACUUCUCUUACAAUGCAAGUGUAAAUCAGACAGGACACCCCACUGACAACUAACACCCAUGAACAAAAAGUAGCAACCGAACAAGAAAACCCUACUAUAUCCUGUGUUAAUCUAACACCAGGGCAUUUCAAGAAAGAUUUAAAGAAAGAGAAGGAACUCGGCAAAUAUUAACCUCGCCUGUUUACCAAAAACAUCGCCUCUUGAAAAAUAUAAGAGGUCCAGCCUGCCCAGUGACUCUGUUCAACGGCCGCGGUAUCCUAACCGUGCGAAGGUAGCGUAAUCACUUGUUCUUUAAAUGAGGACUAGUAUGAAUGGCACCACGAAGGUUAUACUGUCUCCUCUUUCUAAUCAGUGAAACUAAUCUCCCCGUGAAGAAGCGAGGAUGAACAUAUAAGACGAGAAGACCCUAUGGAGCUUUAAACCAAGCAACACCUGUUUUGAUUUUCCCAAAUUUAAGAAAAAUCCCACUCACCAUUACAGGAUAAUUGCCAGUUUUAGGUUGGGGUGACCGCGGAGAAUAAAAUAACCUCCACAUUGAAAGGUGAUAUAAUCCUUAGCUAAGAGUCACACCUCUACGCAUCAACAAAAUGACAUUAAUUGACCCAAUAUAUUGAUCAACGAACCAAGUUACCCUAGGGAUAACAGCGCAAUCCACUUCAAGAGCUCCUAUCGACAAGUGGGUUUACGACCUCGAUGUUGGAUCAGGGUAUCCCAGUGGUGCAGCCGCUACUAAAGGCUCGUUUGUUCAACGAUUAAAACCCU